UAGGGAAUCUUCGGCAAUGGGGGCAACCCUGACCGAGCAACGCCGCGUGAGUGAAGAAGGUUUUCGGAUCGUAAAGCUCUGUUGUAAGAGAAGAACGUGUGUGAGAGUGGAAAGUUCACACAGUGACGGUAACUUACCAGAAAGGGACGGCUAACUACGUGCCAGCAUCCGCGGUAAUACGUAGGUCCCGAGCGUUGUCCGGAUUUAUUGGGCGUAAAGCGAGCGCAGGCGGUUUAAUAAGUGUGAAGUUAAAGGCAGUGGCUUAACCAUUGUCCGGUUUGGAAACGGUUAAACUAGAGUGCAGAAGGUGGGAGUGGAAUUCCAUGUUUAGCGGUGAAAGGCGUAGGUAUAUGGAGGAACACCGGUGGCGAAAGCGGCUCUCUGGUCUGUAACUGACGCUGAGGCUCGAAAGCGUGGGGAGCAAGCAGG
This 429-nucleotide ribosomal RNA is filed under the name bacterium. RNAcentral describes it as "partial 16S ribosomal RNA". It matches the Rfam family "Bacterial small subunit ribosomal RNA", at positions 355 to 776 of the family's 1533-position model. The record is from RNAcentral.